This 148-nucleotide non-coding RNA is filed under the name Nomascus leucogenys (northern white-cheeked gibbon). The record is from Rfam by way of RNAcentral. Lineage: Eukaryota; Metazoa; Chordata; Mammalia; Primates; Hylobatidae.
GCUGGGUGUGGUGGUGCACACCUAUAAUCCCAGCUACUCAGGAGGCUGAGGCGGGAGAAUCACUUGAACCCAGGAGGCUGAGGUUGCAGUGAGCUGAAAUCGUGCCACUGUACUCUAGCCUGGGUGACAGAGGGAGACUCCUUCUCAA